This 333-nucleotide unclassified non-coding RNA is filed under the name uncultured Glomeraceae. RNAcentral's name for it is "sequence contains 18S rRNA gene". Lineage: Eukaryota; Fungi; Glomeromycota; Glomeromycetes; Glomerales; Glomeraceae. The record is from RNAcentral.
CCCAACUAUCCCUAUUAAUCAUUACGUCAAUCCUAGAAACCAACAAAAUAGAAUUAAACGUCCUAUUUCAUUAUUCCAUGCUAAUGUAUUCAAGCGCGAGCCUGCUUUAAACACUCUAAUUUUUUCAAAGUAACAGUCCUGAUUCCCCAUGACACCAAAUUAAUGACAUCAUGGUUCUUCAGAAGGGAGAAAUCAAUAAUGUCAGUACGUACCAAGGCACGACCAACAAUUUGAUCUCGAAAUUCAACUACGAGCUUUUUAACUGCAACAACUUUAAUAUACGCUAUUGGAGCUGGAAUUACCGCGGCUGCUGGCACCAGACUUGCCCUCCAA